RNAcentral lists this transfer RNA (74 nucleotides) under Chlamydiae bacterium RIFCSPLOWO2_01_FULL_28_7. Its description in RNAcentral is "tRNA-Arg". It matches the Rfam family "tRNA". From Rfam's summary of the family: Transfer RNA (tRNA) molecules are approximately 80 nucleotides in length. Lineage: Bacteria; Pseudomonadati; Chlamydiota. The record is from RNAcentral.
GCACCGGUAGCUCAAUUGGAUAGAGCACUUGGCUUCGGACCAAGCGGUUAGGGGUUCAACUCCCUUCCGGUGCG